ACAGGGUUGGCCGAAAACCUGAAACAGAGUAGGCA
Non-coding RNA from Niastella koreensis GR20-10, 35 nucleotides. Lineage: Bacteria; Pseudomonadati; Bacteroidota; Chitinophagia; Chitinophagales; Chitinophagaceae. The record is from Rfam.